This 1181-nucleotide long non-coding RNA is filed under the name Capra hircus (goat). RNAcentral describes it as "lncRNA (ENSCHIG00010004195.1)". The record is from RNAcentral. Lineage: Eukaryota; Metazoa; Chordata; Mammalia; Artiodactyla; Bovidae.
UUUUGUUUAAUUAAAAAAAAGCAUUUGAAGCUAGAACACCAGUAGGCAAAUUCUCAUGGGCAUGGUAGACAUGGCAUCAGUUUAGUAAUGAUCCCAACAUUUAUAUAAUGGGCCAUGGUAUUUCUCAAAGUCAGAAAAAAUGUUCAAAUCUAAGAAAUCAAUGCAGAAAGGUAAGCUGGUUCUUAUGGAAUUUAGAUGAGCCAAAGAUAUUCCCAGGUAGCAUAUGAAUGUUAAAAAUAGUACAGGUUUUCAUUUUUGAGUUGACUUUCCUUUAUAGAUUAGUAUUCUCCAGUUUGGCUAUAAGCAAAUCUACACUAUGUUAUAUAGGCAAUAGCUUAUUUGAUAUUUGACCCUUGCUUAUGUGUUCGAAAAGGUGAUGCAGUUCCCAACUGGAGGUUUUAAGAGAUAAUUCAAGUGAAGUCCUUCAUUCUGUUAUUGGAAUGUUUAGAGAACUGGAAGUAUUUGUAACCAUCAAAGGAGGAAGUUCACUUUUACUUUGUUUUCAAAAUGAUAUUAAGAGAAAAGCACGUUUACAUUUGCUCAGCAUUUCAGGACAUGGGCACAAGUAACCCAGCCUUGAAGCUGCUUUGUCAUCUAGCUUGCAUCUGGCAAAGGAAUGAAACGUAGCAGACCUUCUCUUGGUCUCUAAUCGGCGCUGGCAGCAGACACCAGGGUGCCAGCAGCGCCAGAGGAUUCCCCAGGAAGAGCUGCUUCUGCUGUCCGAGAUUUUCCAGACUUGUUUUGUUUGCUCAUUUGACAUAUAAUCUUGUGGUUUCUGGCCGCGUUCACCACCUAAAGUAGAAAAACAUAUCCGAUUCUUAGGUCUAGCUCAGCUUCUAACUGUUUCAACAAAUUAAAGGACUUGACUGCGGAAUUUUUUGUUUUUAAGUGAACACUUUGCUGUUACUCAAACCCUACCAUGGGUUCCACAGACAAAUGCAAGCUGUCUCUUUAGAUGUGGUCACAGUUGACAGUUCAAAAGAAUGAAAUCAAAACCCUGAAGACUUGAACUAAAAAAAAAUCAUUCUUGGAAUAAAAGCUCGGAUUUCAAAGAUGAUAUUAAAAUGAUAAUAAUUUUACACAUCCUCGUUUAGCAUAAAUUUCUCCUGAUGAAACACUCCCCACAAAACUGUAAGGCUGUGUUGUCUGAAUCACCCUUUUAGGGAAAUCUCUAGAACUUU